This 313-nucleotide ribosomal RNA is filed under the name Escherichia coli. RNAcentral describes it as "bacterial SSU rRNA". It matches the Rfam family "Bacterial small subunit ribosomal RNA", at positions 1 to 312 of the family's 1533-position model. The record is from RNAcentral. Lineage: Bacteria; Pseudomonadati; Pseudomonadota; Gammaproteobacteria; Enterobacterales; Enterobacteriaceae.
AUUGAAGAGUUUGAUCAUGGCUCAGAUUGAACGCUGGCGGCAGGCCUAACACAUGCAAGUCGAACGGUAACAGGAAGCAGCUUGCUGCUUCGCUGACGAGUGGCGGACGGGUGAGUAAUGUCUGGGGAACUGCCUGAUGGAGGGGGAUAACUACUGGAAACGGUAGCUAAUACCGCAUAAUGUCGCAAGACCAAAGAGGGGGACCUUCGGGCCUCUUGCCAUCGGAUGUGCCCAGGUGGGAUUAGCUUGUUGGUGGGGUAACGGCUCACCAAGGCGACGAUCCCUAGCUGGUCUGAGAGGAUGACCAGCCACA